This 622-nucleotide non-coding RNA is filed under the name Treponema porcinum. RNAcentral's name for it is "Bacterial small subunit ribosomal RNA". It matches the Rfam family "Bacterial small subunit ribosomal RNA", at positions 1 to 609 of the family's 1533-position model. Lineage: Bacteria; Pseudomonadati; Spirochaetota; Spirochaetia; Treponematales; Treponemataceae. The record is from Rfam by way of RNAcentral.
AUCAUGGAGAGUUUGAUCCUGGCUCAGAACGAACGCUGGCGGCGCGUCUUAAGCAUGCAAGUCGGACGGCAAGGAAGGAGCUUGCUCCUUCCCUAGAGUGGCGGACUGGUGAGGAACGCGUGGGUGACGUACCCUCCGGACGGGGAUAGCCGGUAGAAAUACCGGGUAAUACCGGAUAAGAGCGCCUCCUUGGAGGGGGGCGGAGAAAGCGGCUUCGGCCGCGCCGGAGGAACGGCCCGCGUGCUAUUAGCUGGUUGGCGGGGUAACGGCCCACCAAGGCGACGAUAGCUAUCCGGCCUGAGAGGGUGAACGGACACAUUGGGACUGAGAUACGGCCCAGACUCCUACGGGAGGCAGCAGCUAAGAAUAUUCCGCAAUGGGGGAAACCCUGACGGAGCGACGCCGCGUGGAUGAUGAAGGCCGGAAGGUUGUAAAGUCCUUUUGGGCGCAAAGAAUAAGUACGCGAGGAAAUGCGCGUGCGGUGACGGUAGCGCCUGAAUAAGCAACGGCUAAUUACGUGCCAGCAGCCGCGGUAACACGUAAGUUGCGAGCGUUGUUCGGAAUUAUUGGGCGUAAAGGGCAUGUAGGCGGUCGUGCAAGCUUGGUGUGAAAUCCCGGGGCU